This 468-nucleotide ribosomal RNA is filed under the name uncultured bacterium. Its description in RNAcentral is "partial 16S ribosomal RNA". It matches the Rfam family "Bacterial small subunit ribosomal RNA", at positions 28 to 507 of the family's 1533-position model. The record is from RNAcentral.
GACGAACGCUGGCGGCGUGCUUAACACAUGCAAGUCGAACGGAAAGGCCCUGCUUUUGUGGGGUGCUCGAGUGGCGAACGGGUGAGUAACACGUGAGUAACCUGCCCCUGACUUUGGGAUAACUUCAGGAAACUGGGGCUAAUACCGGAUAGGAGCUCCUGCUGCAUGGUGGGGGUUGGAAAGUUUCGGCGGUUGGGGAUGGACUCGCGGCUUAUCAGCUUGUUGGUGGGGUAGUGGCUUACCAAGGCUUUGACGGGUAGCCGGCCUGAGAGGGUGACCAGCCACAUUGGGACUGAGAUACGGCCCAGACUCCUACGGGAGGCAGCAGUGGGGAAUAUUGCACAAUGGGCGGAGGCCUGAUGCAGCAACGCCGCGUGCGGGAUGACGGCCUUCGGGUUGUAAACCGCUUUCGCCUGUGACGAAGCGUGAGUGACGGUAAUGGGUAAAGAAGCACCGGCUAACUACGUG